CGGUUAAAAAGCUCGUAGUUGGAUCUCGGCAAGUAGAGGGCGGUAUGCUUCGUAGCAUUACUGCCCUAGUACUUGUAGUUUUGCCAGAGGUUCCUGGGUGCUCUUAAUCGAGUGUCUAGGGAUGCUGGCAGGUUUACUUUGAAAAAAUUAGAGUGCUCAAAGCAGGCUAUUACGCUUGAAUAUUCGUGCAUGGAAUAAUAGAAUAGGAAGUUGUUUCUAUUUUGUUGGUUUUCGGAAAUCGACUUAAUGAUUAAUAGGGACAGUCGGGGGCAUUUGUAUUCAAACGACAGAGGUGAAAUUCUUGGACCGUUUGAAGACAAACUACUGCGAAAGCAUUUGCCAAGAAUGUUUUCAUUAAUCAAGAACGAAAGUUAGAGGUUCGAAGGCGAUUAGAUACCGCCCUAGUUCUAACCAUAAACGAUGCCAGCUAGCGAUCUGAGGACGUUUUUUUUGUAGACUCCUCAGGAAGCUUCCGGGAAACCAAAGCGUGUGGGUUCCGGGGGAAGUAUGGUUGCAAAGCUGAAACUUAAAGGAAUUGACGGAAGGGCACCACCAGGAGUGGAGCCUGCGGCUUAAUUUGACUCAACACGGGAAAUCUCACCAGGCCCGGACACUGGAAGGAUUGACAGAUUGAGAGCUCUUUCUCG
Molecule: ribosomal RNA, 647 nt
Filed under: uncultured marine eukaryote
Lineage: Eukaryota
Description: SSU rRNA
Rfam family: Eukaryotic small subunit ribosomal RNA
Source: RNAcentral